RNAcentral lists this ribosomal RNA (583 nucleotides) under Acinetobacter sp. EECC-348. RNAcentral's name for it is "bacterial SSU rRNA". It matches the Rfam family "Bacterial small subunit ribosomal RNA", at positions 100 to 678 of the family's 1533-position model. The record is from RNAcentral. Lineage: Bacteria; Pseudomonadati; Pseudomonadota; Gammaproteobacteria; Moraxellales; Moraxellaceae.
GGACGGGUGAGUAAUGCUUAGGAAUCUGCCUAUUAGUGGGGGACAACAUCUCGAAAGGGAUGCUAAUACCGCAUACGUCCUACGGGAGAAAGCAGGGGACCUUCGGGCCUUGCGCUAAUAGAUGAGCCUAAGUCGGAUUAGCUAGUUGGUGGGGUAAAGGCCUACCAAGGCGACGAUCUGUAGCGGGUCUGAGAGGAUGAUCCGCCACACUGGGACUGAGACACGGCCCAGACUCCUACGGGAGGCAGCAGUGGGGAAUAUUGGACAAUGGGGGGAACCCUGAUCCAGCCAUGCCGCGUGUGUGAAGAAGGCCUUUUGGUUGUAAAGCACUUUAAGCGAGGAGGAGGCUACCGAGAUUAAUACUCUUGGAUAGUGGACGUUACUCGCAGAAUAAGCACCGGCUAACUCUGUGCCAGCAGCCGCGGUAAUACAGAGGGUGCAAGCGUUAAUCGGAUUUACUGGGCGUAAAGCGCGCGUAGGUGGCCAAUUAAGUCAAAUGUGAAAUCCCCGAGCUUAACUUGGGAAUUGCAUUCGAUACUGGUUGGCUAGAGUAUGGGAGAGGAUGGUAGAAUUCCAGGUGUAG